Mandrillus leucophaeus (drill) is the source of this 5192-nucleotide long non-coding RNA. RefSeq lists it as uncharacterized. The transcript is spliced from 2 exons. Lineage: Eukaryota; Metazoa; Chordata; Mammalia; Primates; Cercopithecidae. The record is from RefSeq and is a predicted model, not a curated record.
GAAAACCAACCAGGUGCAACUGUGCUUUGUAAUAUUAUAGAAUAGAAUGCUGGUGGGGUACAGCAAGGAGUACACUGUGUUUGUGGGGCAGGGUACAUAAGAUUCUGAUUUACUUUUCCAUCAUGGUGAAUGGCAUGAUCUUAGACACCUUAGUUAGCUUUAUUCAAACUCAGUUUUCCAAUCUGUAAAAUGGCAACAUUCACUAUAUGUUGUCAAUCUCUUUGAUGGACAGGGCCCACAGUUAGGAGCCUCUCGAGACCCUGGUGUCUAAAGUGGUGAAGGAGAGCUUUCUGGAAUGAGUGAACAUGUGUCAGAUGCUCUAAGGUCCUCAUUAGAAGGGUGCCCUGUCCCCUGCACCAGCUGAGCAAGGCGGGUGGGCCACCAUCCUGCUACCAUUUUAUAGUCAGUGGAUCUUUUUUUUCUUUUUCUCUUUCUCUCCAGAAGGACAGAAUAAUGGGCUCCAGAUUCGCAAGCCCCACCGAGAGGAUCACCCCAGGAACCCUUGGAGACUGAGGAGUUCACUGAGGCUAGUGCAUCUCGAGACUCAGGAUGAAGACCCAACUUGGGGCUGUCAAAGGUGCAACCUGCCAGCUGAGACCUCCAAGGGUCGAGCCCGGGCCCCUUUGCCUUGUUCAUGGCUUUGGCCAGUGCUUAGCAUAUAGUAAACAACUUGUAAAUGUUUAUGAGAGGAUGUGUGGGGGGUCAUCCCUUCGGAAUGGCACACUGUCCAUUAUCAUUGUCCUCAGAGGCUCCAGCCUCAGGUGCUUCUUAAACUUCGAUGGGAAUGAUGGCAGCAGGUGGGUCCAGGGCUCAGCACGAGAGCUCACAGCAGGCUGUGCUCCACCCCACACAGGCCCCCAGUCUUGCCAUGUUUCCUCUGCCUCACCAGGCUGGCAUAGAAACUGCUUCCAACUGAAGCCAGCCAACCUGCCUGCCCCUAACCACACCUGCAACUCUAGGGUCACCGUUAGUCUAGAUUAGGGGCCCUUAAACUGUAGCCUUUGCCAGGCAUGGUGGCUCACGCCUGUAAUCUCAGAACUUUAGGAGGCCGAGGCGGGUGGAUCACUUGAGGUAGGAAGUUCGAGAGCAGCCUGGCCAACAUGGCGAAACCCUGUCUCUACUAAAAAUACAAAAAUUCGCCAGACAUGGUAGCGCACACCUGUAAUCCCACCUACUUGGAAGACUGAGGCAAGAGAAUCACUUGAACCUAGGAGGUGGAGGUUGCAGGGAGCUGAGAUCACACCACUGAACUCCAGCCUGGGCAACAGAGUGAGACUCCCUCUCAAAACAAACAAACAAACAAACAAACAAAGAAACACUACAGCCUUUGGGCUAAAUCUGGUCAGUGUUCUGUGCUUGUAAGAACUCUGAGUGAAGAACAAUUUUUACGUCUCUCUAAAGGGUUGAAGAAUACAAAAAGAAUAUUCAACAGAGACCAUCUGGCUAGCAAAGCCUAAAAUAUUGACCCUCUGGUCCUUUACAGAAAAGGUGUGCCGGUCGCUGGACUGGGCAGUGCCGACCGCAACCUGGGCUCCCUGUGAACAUUUCACCCACACACACUCAUCUCCUUUCUCUUAUCAACACUGAGGCAGGUGAGAUUAUCAUUCCUUGUAAACAUGGAGAAACUAAGGCACGGAGAGGUUUAACUCAUUUACCUGAGAAUCUAUUAAGUAACAGAGCCAGGAUUCCAACCCAGGCAGUCCAGCUUCAGAGUCCAUACCUCCUAGCUGCACUCUGGGCCAUCAGCGUAGGGAUGAGCUUCAGACAAGAACUCCCCUCUUAGCUUCCGCCCUCUCCUGCCCCACAGCCAGUGAACAGGCAUUUUGCACCCCAGCCUGCCCCAGCCAGCUCCUCCUCAGAGAUUUCCUGCAGGGACUUAGACGGGGCUCUGGGACCACCCUCCUUUUCUGCCCCACCCGGCACCUGGAACUCUUCUUGAUCCUGCUCCCUCUAAGGCUGGACACGUCUCCAUGAGCCAGGCCUGAAGUUGUUCCCCUCUCUGGACCUCAGGACCUCCCUUCCUAGGAGCAGUUCCUGUAUCCCCUAUCCUCUCUGCCUUCCCCGCUUCCCACCAUGUCCUUCCAAUAAGGGGCUGGAUUUGUAGUGUGCAGCCUUGGGAACAGGGUUGGGCUCAGGGAUUGGGAGCAGAGGCCCAGGGCUCUGACUGACCCUCUGUCAUCCCCAGGAGGAGAAGCUGCUGUAUUUAGAGUGUCACAAAGAAUAGUGUUGGAGGCUUCAGAAACCACGGGAGAUUCUGAACUUCUAGGCUGAGCAGAUGGGAUGGUGCCUCUGUGAUCAACAGGCCUGGCAGAGGGAUGCAGGAGGGGGUGAGAAUGGAAAGACAGCUGCCAAGGGGAACAGAGAGCUUUUCAAGUCACCGUUGUCCCCUCUCCACCUCACCAUCAGGGCUAAGACUAAACCUAACCAUCCGGUUGCAGCCCCUCGGCCCUGGGGAUGGAGAUUAGUGUGCAUAGAAUGAAGGUACAGAGGCCAUGUUCUGGCUGUGUGACCUUGCACAGGUUGCAUAACACUCUGUGCCUCACUUUACUCAUUUUUAAAAUGAUGAAGAUGAUAACUACCUGGCAGGGUCUUAUAUUAGAGAUAAUACAGUUCCAAGCACUUUGUAAGCACUCGGUGUGAAAUUGUCUUCUGCUGCUCCCCUUCAUCAGUCCACCCCUCCUCUGCAGAGGUUUCCUCCAUGCUGAGCAAGCUGGCAGUAACUAAGGCCCUGUGGGCGCAUCCCUAGUGCCUUCUGCCCAGGCCUCGGGACCCCCAGGGAUCCUGGCCCCUGUGGACAGGGACUUUUGUGCUCUCCUUCACUGUUACCAGCAAGAGUGAGUCCUGCACUGAAUUUCCAUGGGAUCAUUAUUUGCUAACAUUUGUGCGUGAGUUACUGUCUAGAAAGCAGCUUUUCUGGCCUUUUCCCAUUAAUUUCACGAAAGUUAUCUUCCUUUGCCCUUACUGCAGUCCUGUGAGAGGUUCAUUACCCCAUUUUACAAACAGCUAAUGCUUUGAGAUGAAGUGACUCCCCUGGGGUCACCUAGCUAAGCAGUGGAGAGUGGGUCUCCCACCCGGCCCUCUCACUGUGACUCCUGUUCUCUGCGUCAUUGCAUAUGACGACAUGUGGGUCACGUUUUCACACAUCCAUGCUAGCUGAUAUGGAAUGGUGAGCUUCUCCUGGGUCUUCCGAGGAAGGAUGCUUUCAGGGGUGUUUUGGAAUGAAGGCAGUGGAGACCAAGAGACCUCUAGGUCAAAGCCAGGCAGGAGGGUCCUCUCAGGGACCCAGCCAACAAGUUGCAUUUCUCCCUCAGAGGCUUGAAGAGGCAGAACACCCGAGAGGAGUCUGGGGCCACCACCCAGCGUCACUGGGAAAACGGCAGCAGGAAAUGUCCUCUCACCUGCGUGCUCCACCUCUGUCCACGCCUUUCCUCCUUCUGGAAGCCUUGCCUGACCACUGGCCUGCCCCUUCUAUGGGAAUCGCUGCUGACCUUGCAGCUCACUGUAGACUUAUAUGUAUGCAGAAAUAUAAUUUUAAUUACUUUUGUAUUGCUCCAAGAGUGAUACCGAAUCACAACAGAAAAUUUAAAUAAACAAACUAGCCAAAUUAAUACAAGCAAUCACCCCAGUCAAAUACACCCAGCUCACAUUUUGAUGUAAAAUCUUCCAGUACAUUUGCUAUGUACAUAUAUAUUUUUAGGAAGGAGAUUAUAUUUUACAUGCUGUUUUCUAAAACGUUCUUUUAAAACUGUGUCAUAAACAUUUUUCCUUAUAAUUAGAUCGUCCUCUACAACAAAAUUUGCUAAUGAAUUUUUUUUUUUAAUCAUGGUCACUGUUGUGUUAUGUACAUCUUAGUUUAGCAUCCUCAGUUACAUUGUAAGCAUUUUAAGGACUCAGUUUCCCCAGCCAGCCUCAGGAUGGGUUUGUUCAUUGAUUGAUGGCUGUGUGGGGUGGAGGAGGGAAGUAGAAAGUGAGUGAGAUUUGGGUAAGCAAACCUGGGUUUAAAUGCUGAGUUUGCAAAUUCCAUAAAUUCUGCUUCCUUCCCUUCCUCCCUCCCUCCCUCCCUCCCUUCCUUCCUUCCUUCCUUCUUCCAUCCUUCCUUCCUCGCUCCCUCCAUUCUCCCUCCCUUCCUUCCCUCCUUGCUGAAACAAAUGCCUUGUUAGAUAUUUUAUAUACUCAUGUAAAUAUGCACUCAUUUAAAUAUCAUGUGGGCACCUCCUCUGAGUGGCCCUGAGCUUGGUUCUGGGGAUGUGGCACCGCACAAGAGAAACCAGGUCUCUGCUCUCACGGAGCUUGAUGCAUCCAGUUGGGGGCACAGACCCAAAUCAAGCCAACAGACAAAACCUAAGCAGGCCACUAACUUGUGUUUGAGUACAACAUCCGCAUGGACGGGAAUGAGAAUUACAGGGGACCACACUUGAACUGGGGUCCGGCAAAGCCCUCUCUGGGGAGGUGACAGUCAAGCCCAGACCUAAAGAAGCCUGCUGCAGGGAGGAUGGAAAAGACGUUCUGACAAAGCCCUUGAGAUCGGGAAGGCUUUGGCUUAGAUGAGGAACUUCAGCUGGUCAUCCCCUCUCUCAUCCAUCCUAUUGAAACCACCUUUGCAAAAAGUGUAUCAGUGAGAAAAUUAUAACAGCAAGCUAAGCUAACCCAACCUCCAUCUUCCCUUUCCCUUAAUUAUUCCUGGGCUAUUGGGUCAAGCUAACUUUAGAAGAUAUUUAGGCUACAGUUUAAAUGAUAAUAGGCCUUGCCCAAAACUCAACCACUUUUGUAAAGCUAAUAGGGGACCAUCAGGGUGUGGGGAGAAGAGCCUAAAUCCUACUAAGGUGCAGACAUUAUUCCGGAGGUUAUAAGAUAUGCAACUUUCCCAAUACAACACUACUAUUAUAGAUAGGCCUUUUGAGAUCUCUUUCCAGGUUUUUUGCAUAUUUGACGCCCAUGGCUCCACCUGGACCUGAUGGCUCCACCCAGAAGCAAUUCAGCCCCACAGGAGGACAGCUUCAACCCAUUACCAUUUCCUCUCUGCCCCAACCAAUCAGCAGCAAGCACCUGUUACCUGUCCACCCCGACCCCUUCCCCCAAACUGCCUUUGAAAAAUCCCUAACCUAUGAGCUUUGAACAAGAUGAUAUGAGUACGAACUCCACCUCCCAUGUGGCGUGGCUGGCCUCGUGUCUAUUAAAUUCUUUCUCUACUA